AAAGUCGUAACAAGGUCUCCGUUGGUGAACCAGCGGAGGGAUCAUUACAGAGUUGCAAAACUCCCACACCCUUUGUGAACGCACUGGAACUACUGCUUCGGCGGGCAAGCUCUUCAGUGGGCAGCCCGCCGGAGAAGCACUAAACUCUUGCUGUACCACAGUGGCACAUCCGAGUCAAAACAAACAAACAAAUCAAAACUUUCAACAACGGAUCUCUUGGUUCUG
This 225-nucleotide unclassified non-coding RNA is filed under the name Ascomycota sp. Its description in RNAcentral is "partial contains small subunit ribosomal RNA, internal transcribed spacer 1, and 5.8S ribosomal RNA". The stretch from base 1 to 47 matches the Rfam family "Eukaryotic small subunit ribosomal RNA", at positions 1785 to 1831 of the family's 1831-position model. Lineage: Eukaryota; Fungi; Ascomycota. The record is from RNAcentral.